This 81-nucleotide transfer RNA is filed under the name Canis lupus familiaris (dog). It matches the Rfam family "tRNA". From Rfam's summary of the family: Transfer RNA (tRNA) molecules are approximately 80 nucleotides in length. Their secondary structure includes four short double-helical elements and three loops (D, anti-codon, and T loops). Lineage: Eukaryota; Metazoa; Chordata; Mammalia; Carnivora; Canidae. The record is from Rfam by way of RNAcentral. RNAcentral also lists the same sequence under 1 other name.
GCUCAGUUGGUCAAGUGUCUAACUCUUGGUUUCUGCUCAGGUCUUGAUCUCAGGGUGUGGGUUCAAACCCCAUAUUGGGCU